RNAcentral lists this transfer RNA (66 nucleotides) under Aneides flavipunctatus (black salamander). RNAcentral describes it as "tRNA-Tyr". It matches the Rfam family "tRNA". Rfam says of the family: Transfer RNA (tRNA) molecules are approximately 80 nucleotides in length. Their secondary structure includes four short double-helical elements and three loops (D, anti-codon, and T loops). Lineage: Eukaryota; Metazoa; Chordata; Amphibia; Caudata; Plethodontidae. The record is from RNAcentral.
GGUAAGAUGGCCGAAAGGGCGUUGAGUUGUAGCCUCAACAAUGAAGGUCAAGUCCUUUUCUUAUCA